Molecule: unclassified non-coding RNA, 225 nt
Filed under: plant metagenome
Description: partial contains small subunit ribosomal RNA, internal transcribed spacer 1, and 5.8S ribosomal RNA
Source: RNAcentral
UCUCCGUAGGUGAACCAGCGGAGGGAUCAUUAAAUGACUCGCAAGAAUCCUACAACCCUGUGAACUUAACUAUAAGCACGUUGCUUCGGCGUGUGUCUCGCAGUUCGCUUUCCCUCCUCUGGACGCUAAACUAGCCGGCAGCCUACUAUUCUCUGUCUUUUUGCGUUGUCCUCUCGAAUACAAUUAAACAAGUUAAAACUUUCAACAACGGAUCUCUUGGUUCUG